CUUGAAAGAGAAAAUGGCUUCUAACAUCAUCCGUGUCUAUUUUUUCAUCGCAUUGCUAUGUAUUGCUUCCACUUUGACUCCAGGAGGAGCAAUUGACGCAACAACUUCAUGGACUUAUUGCAUUGGCCAAGGUCCAUGUCCAAGUGAUAAGGAUUGUACUAAAUAUUGUUUGGAAUCAACUUUUCUUCAUGGUGGCAAGUGCAUAGGAAAUCAAUGUUGUUGUAUUCGAUAAUUGUCAAACUGAAAGUUAAACUUUUUUUUUUUUUUUGGAUUUCAUUUUUGUUAUUCUCAUAAGGAAUCUUCUUGAAGAUAAUCUCCCAUUUGGAUAUGUUUUCAGAGAAUAUUGUCAAAAAAUAUAUAUGAGAACAUUAUUUUGUUUGAGAAUUUUAAAAUAAGAUCAAUGUUCAAAAAUUUCAAAUUA
This is a non-coding RNA of Cicer arietinum (chickpea), 421 nucleotides long. NCBI's taxonomy places the organism in Eukaryota, Viridiplantae, Streptophyta, Magnoliopsida, Fabales, Fabaceae. The record is from RefSeq and is a predicted model, not a curated record.